CUACGGGGUGCACCAGUGGGGAAUAUUGCACAAUGGAGGAAACUCUGAUGCAGCCAUGCCGCGUGUGUGAAGAAGGCCCGAGGGUUGUAAAGCACUUUCAAUUGGGAGGAAGGUUAUGUAGCUAAUACCUGCAUAAUUUGACGUUACCUUUAGAAGAAGCACCGGCUAACUCUGUGCCAGCAGCCGCGGUAAUACAGAGGGUGCAAGCGUUAUUCGGAAUUACUGGGCGUAAAGCGCGCGUAGGCGGAUUGUUAAGUCAGAUGUGAAAGCCCUGGGCUCAACCUGGGAACGGCAUCUGAUACUGGCAGUCUAGAGUUUAAGAGAGGGAAGGGGAAUUUCUAGUGUAGCAGUGAAAUGCGUAGAUAUUAGAAGGAACAUCAGUGGCGAAGGCGCCUUCCUGGCUUAAAACUGACGCUGAGGUGCGAAAGCGUGGGUAGCGAACGGGAUUAGAUACCCGGGUAGUC
Molecule: ribosomal RNA, 464 nt
Filed under: uncultured bacterium
Lineage: Bacteria
Description: partial 16S ribosomal RNA
Rfam family: Bacterial small subunit ribosomal RNA
Source: RNAcentral